Non-coding RNA from Glycine max (soybean), 1482 nucleotides. The record is from Rfam. Lineage: Eukaryota; Viridiplantae; Streptophyta; Magnoliopsida; Fabales; Fabaceae.
CUCAUGGAGAGUUCAAUCCGGGCUCAGGAUGACAUGCCUUACACAUGUAAGUCAAAUGGGAAGUCGUGUUUCCAAUUACGGAAGGGUGAGUAACACGUAAGAACCUACCCUUGGGAGGGGAACAACAGCUGGAAACGGCUGCUAAUACCCCAUAGGCUGAGAAGCAAAAGGAGGAAUCCGCCCGAGGAGGGACUCGUGUCUGAUUAGCUAGUUGGUGAGGCAAUAACAUACCAUGGCGAUGGUCAAUAGUUGGUCUGAGAGGAUGAUUAACCACACUAGGACUGAGACCUGACCCAGACUCCUAAAGAAGGCAGUAAUGGGGAAUUUUUCACAAUGGGCGAAAGCCUGAUGGAACAAUGUUGUGUGAAGGUAGAAGGCCUACGGGUCAUGAACUGCUUUUCCCGGAGAAGAACCAAUGAUGGUAUCCAAGGAAUAAGCAUCAGCUAACUUUGUGCCAGCAGUCGUGGUAAGACAGAGGAUGCAAGCAUUAUUUGGAAUAAUUGGGUGUAAAGCAUUUGUAGGUGGCUUUUUAAUUUCGUCAUCAAAUCCCAAGGCUCAACUUUGGACAGGCGGUGGAAACUACCAAGCUAGAGUACGGCAGGGGCAGAGGGAAUUUCCGGUGGAGUGGUGAAAUGCAUAGAGAUCGGAAAGAACACCAACGGUGAAAGUACUCUGCUGGGCCGAUACUGACACUGAGAAAUGAUAGCUAGGGGAGCGAAUGGGAUUAGAUACCCCAGCAAUCCUAGCGGUAAACAAUGGAUACUAGGUGUUGUGCGUAUCGACCCGUGCAUUGCUGUAGCUAACACGUUAAGUAUCCCACCUGGGGAGUAUGUUCACAAGAAUGAAACUCAAAGGAAUUGAUGGGGGGCCUACACAAGCGGUGAAGCAUGUGGUUUAAUUUCGAUGCAAAGUGAAGAACCUUACUAGGGCUUGCCAUGCCGUGAAUCCUCUUGAAAGAGAGGGAUGCCUUCAGGAACGCAAAAAUAGGUGGUGCAUGGCUGUCGUCAGCUCAUGUCAUAAGGUGUUGGUUUAAGUUCCGCAAUGAGCGCAACCCUCGUGUUUAGUUGUCAACAUUUAGUUUGAAACCCUGAGCAGACUGUCGGUGAUAAGCCAGAGGAAGGUGAGGAUGAUGUCAAGUCAUCAUGCCCUUUCUUCCCUGGGCAACACAAGUGCUACAAUGGACGGGACAAAGGAUCGCGAUCCCACGAGGGUGAGCUAACUCCAAAAACCUAUCCUCAGUUCAGAUUAUAGGCUGCAACUCACUUGCAUGAAGCUAGAAUCGCUAGUAGUUGCCGGUCAACCAUACGACGAUGAAUUUGUUCCCGGGCCUUGUACACACCGUCCGUCACACUAUAGGAGUUGGCCAUGCCCGAAGUCACUACCUUAAACACAAGGAGGGGGAUGCCGAAGACAGGGUUAGUGACUGGAGUGAAGUUAUAACAAGCUAGUCAUACUAGAAGGUGUGGUUGAAUCACCUCCUUU